AUUGAACGCUGGCGGCAGGCUUAACACAUGCAAGUCGAGCGAGCGGCGGACGGGUGAGUAAUGUCUGGGAAACUGCCUGAUGGAGGGGGAUAACUACUGGAAACGGUAGCUAAUACCGCAUACCAUCAGAUGUGCCCAGAUGGGAUUAGCUAGUAGGUGGGGUAAUGGCUCACCUAGGCGACGAUCCCUAGAUGGUCUGAGAGGAUGACCAGCACACCUGGACCAGAGACCCGGCCCAGACCCCUACGGGAGGCAGCGGUGGGGAAUAUUGCACAAUGGUCGCAAGCCGGAUGACCCCAUGCCGCGGGUGUGAAGAAGGCCUUCGGGUUGUAAAGCACUUUCAGCGAGGAGGCUUUCCUCGAAGAAGAAGCACCGGCUAACUCCGUUCAAGCAGCCGCGGUAAUAC
This 406-nucleotide ribosomal RNA is filed under the name uncultured bacterium. Its description in RNAcentral is "partial 16S ribosomal RNA". It matches the Rfam family "Bacterial small subunit ribosomal RNA", at positions 30 to 526 of the family's 1533-position model. The record is from RNAcentral.